UUAAGUUUGAUGUUGAUAAACUUGGAGAGAAACUCAAGUAUUGCAAGAAGGAUGAUGUGACAUACAGCUACAAUAAAAUUCUGCCAUUUAUAGACCUUGAUGAAGCUAGAGAGUUGGUUUUAAAGUUGUGGCCAAACAGACCAGGUCGUCUGGAGGUGGAGCCUUCACUUCAGCUGAGUUACCCAGUUACACAAUUCAAACUAGUUCUCGCUGGGAGCAAUCGAGAAGAAACAAUGUCCACUGGAAAUGCUUUACUGGGGAGAGAAGAAUUCACUUAUCCAGGAAUACAAGUAGAGCUUGUAGAAGUGAACAACCUGGUGGUGAAAAUCAUCAAUACUCCACCCUUGUCAGGAUUAGAAGAUGCAGAUGGGAACAGGGAGACCGGAUAUCAGCGAAAGAUCAGACUCUCAGGCCCAGAACUUCCUGCCUUCCUCCUGGUCAUCAAGUUUCAGAACAUCAAUGCAGAACAAGUCAAGAGGGAUGUACAGGACUUUCAGAGAAAGUUCAAAAACAAGGCCUUAAGACGCACCAUGAUUGUUUUCACCCACCAGG
Cyprinodon variegatus (sheepshead minnow) is the source of this 552-nucleotide long non-coding RNA. RefSeq lists it as uncharacterized. Lineage: Eukaryota; Metazoa; Chordata; Actinopteri; Cyprinodontiformes; Cyprinodontidae. The record is from RefSeq and is a predicted model, not a curated record. The transcript has 3 exons.